GCACAAGCGGAGGAGCAUGUGGCUUAAUUCGAUGCAACGCGAAGAACCUUACCAGGGCUUGACAUGCAGCUGCACAUCCGGUGAAAGCCGGACUCUUUCGAAGGUGCCGCACAGGUGCUGCAUGGCUGUCGUCAGUUCGUGCCGUGAGAUGUCGGGUUAAGUCCCUUAACGAGCGAAACCCUUGUGAAUAGUUGCCAGCACGUAAUGGUGGGGACUCUAUUCAGACUGCCCGGGUCAACCGGGAGGAAGGUGGGGAUGACGUCAGGUCAGUAUGGCCCUUACGCCUUGGGCUGCACACGUACUACAAUGCCCAGUACAAUGAGAACCGAUACCGCGAGGUGGAGGAAAUCUAUAAAACUGGGCCCAGUUCGGAUUGGAGGCUGCAACUCGCCUCCAUGAAGUUGGAAUCGCUAGUAAUGGCACAUCAGCUACGGUGCCGUGAAUACGUUCCCGGGUCUUGUACACACCGCCCGUCACAUCAUGGAAGCCGAUCGCACCCGAAGUAUCUGCGCUAACUAUUUAUAGAA
This 527-nucleotide ribosomal RNA is filed under the name uncultured bacterium. RNAcentral's name for it is "bacterial SSU rRNA". It matches the Rfam family "Bacterial small subunit ribosomal RNA", at positions 923 to 1448 of the family's 1533-position model. The record is from RNAcentral.